GGACUACAAGGGUUUCUAAUCCCGUUCGCUACCCUAGCUUUCGUGCCUCAGCGUCAGAAAAGACCCAGUACGCCGCUUACGCCACCGGUGUUCCUUAGGAUAUCAACGCAUUUCACCGCUCCACCCUAAGUUCCGCGUACCUCUAUCUUCCUCAAGCACAGUAGUUUCGGGCGCAAUUCCUCGGUUGAGCCGAGGGAUUUCACACCCGACUUUCUGCACCGCCUACGCACCCUUUAAGCCCAGUAAUUCCGAAUAACGUUAGCAAGGUUCGUCUUACCGCGGCGGCUGGCAC
Molecule: ribosomal RNA, 292 nt
Filed under: uncultured bacterium
Lineage: Bacteria
Also listed under: 2 other names
Description: partial 16S ribosomal RNA
Source: RNAcentral